AACGAACGCUGGCGGCAGGCCUAACACAUGCAAGUCGAGCGGACCCUUCGGGGUUAGCGGCGGACGGGUGAGUAACGCGUGGGAAUAUGCCCUUCUCUACGGAAUAGUCCUGGGAAACUGGGGGUAAUACCGUAUACGCCCCUUGGGGGAAAGAUUUAUCGGGGAAGGAUUAGCCCGCGUUGGAUUAGGUAGUUGGUGGGGUAAUGGCCUACCAAGCCGACGAUCCAUAGCUGGUUUGAGAGGAUGAUCAGCCACACUGGGACUGAGACACGGCCCAGACUCCUACGGGAGGCAGCAGUGGGGAAUCUUAGACAAUGGGGGCAACCCUGAUCGAGCCAUGCCGCGUGAGUGAUGAAGGCCUUAGGGUUGUAAAGCUCUUUCAGCUGGGAAGAUAAUGACGGUACCAGCAGAAGAAGCCCCGGCUAACUCCGUG
RNAcentral lists this ribosomal RNA (433 nucleotides) under uncultured bacterium. RNAcentral's name for it is "partial 16S ribosomal RNA". It matches the Rfam family "Bacterial small subunit ribosomal RNA", at positions 29 to 507 of the family's 1533-position model. The record is from RNAcentral.